RNAcentral lists this long non-coding RNA (1089 nucleotides) under Androctonus crassicauda. The record is from RNAcentral. Lineage: Eukaryota; Metazoa; Arthropoda; Arachnida; Scorpiones; Buthidae.
AUGUUUACUCUACUGGCAGUGUACGUAUAGUUGUAUGGCUGUUAUUAAAUUGAAAUGUUUUAUAUUGAGUGGCAGUAACUAUAAAAGUUUUUAUCGUCCAUAUACAACAUUUACAAUUCCAUAUAGUAGCACUUAUAUGUUAGUUUUUGCCCACCAGUACCACGACAAUGGAAGAUUUUCUGGGUUAUACCAGUAUAGCUGUUUUGUGUUCUUCAAUUCUAGUGUUUAGACACUUUUUUCUCCUACCUAUAUACUGCUCUGUAGUUUGUAGAGAAUUGUUAUACACUGGGAUUGCAUAUACUCCUGACUUCCUCAUAUUGUUCAUUGGGUCUUUAUCAUUCCUUAAACUUGCAAAAAUGGUACUUUUUCUCUUAUAAACAUGCCUAUGUGCAUUUCUUUGAGAAGUUUUUUUACAACUGUCUAUUACUGGAACAGAUUGUGGUUUUAUUGUAUAUGAGAGAACAUGACUGUUGGUCUUGGUAAGGCCAACUGCUAUUCUGCGAUGUUGCUGUUACAUGAGCAUUGGCUAUUGAUUUAAUAACAUUAUUAUAUAUGGCUUUUAUACUUAUAACCACAUUUUUUGACCUUGUGUAAUUAUAUAGCAUUAUUCUUUGGCUCUAUUUUCUUUGCUUCAUACUGUGUGUGUGUGUGUGUGUGUGUAGCCUAUGGAAGAGAGAGAGAGACCUAAACAAUGCCAUUUUAUAUUUCAUAAGAUCUUGGGAUCAUGCCAGUAUAAUAACAGGAAUGUAUGUUGGUGUUUUUGUAUAUAUUUGUGUAAUAUUCCCCAUUUUCAAUGGUUAUGUUUAAAAAAAUGAAAGUUCUUUCUUCAAUUUCUUCUACUUUUAGAUGUAGAACUAAAUUCUCAUCUGUUAAAGAUUGUAUGAUUUCAGUAGUCUUAUGUUUAGUUUUCUAUAUAAUACAUUGUACUGUUGACAUAUCAUACAUAUAAUUUAAUAUUACUCAUAAAUUUUCAUAGUACCAUAUAUUACGGAUUAUAAGACCCACCUUAAUUUUUAAGCAAUUUUUUAAAAAAAUAACAUUUUUACCAUUUUUAUUAUUAGACUGCAAAGCCAGACUAAUAAAAAAUUC